This 4543-nucleotide long non-coding RNA is filed under the name Homo sapiens (human). Its description in RNAcentral is "PREDICTED lncRNA (TCONS_00218546)". Lineage: Eukaryota; Metazoa; Chordata; Mammalia; Primates; Hominidae. The record is from RNAcentral.
CAGGCCCCCACCCCCUAACGGCCCCCAAUGUGUGAUGUUCCCUGCCUUGUGUCCAAGUGAUCUCAUUGUUCAAUUCCCACCUAUGAGUGAGAACAUGCAGCGUUUGGUUUUCUGUCCUUGUGAUAGUUUGCUGAGAAUGAUGGUUUCCAGCUUCAUCCACGUCCCUGCAAAGGACAUGAACUCAUCCUUUUUUAUGGCUGCAUAGUAUUCUAUGGUGUAUAUGUGCCAUAUUUUCUUAAUCCAGUCUGUCAUUGAUGGACAUUUGCAUUGGUUCCAAGUCUUUGCUAUUGUGAACAGUGCUGCAGUGAACAUACGUGUGCAUGUGUCUUUGUAGUAGCAUGAUUUAUAAUCCUUUGGGUAUAUACCCAGUAAUGGGAUAGCUGGGUCAAAUGGUAAUUCUAGUUCUAGAUCCUUGAGGAAUCGCCACACUGUCUUCCACAAUGGUUGAACUAAUUUACACUCCCACCAACAGUGUAAAAGCGUUCCUAUUUGGGGAAUGAAGGAUUUUUAACUAAGGAAGCUAUGAGAAUGAAAGACCAAUAACAGAAAAGUACAGGGUAGAGGAAAUGUGGGAGUUUAUCGUGGUUUGAGAGAAGAAAGUAUGAUGGGGUAUGAUGAGAGACGAAGGCAUAAAUGGAGGUAGAGGUCAGAUCACGGUGGCCUGCAAGGUCCUAUAUACAAGUAGUCAAAAGGGCACGACAGGUUUUUGAGUAGGGAAGCAUAGUGGCCUUGUAUCGUCUUGCACCCCUUCCUUUUUCCCCUUCUGGCCACAGUCCUGCCCUUCAGACUGUCUGGUUCAAAAUGGAGCUGCCACCUUUUUACAGGCCCCACCUUCCUGGUCACAGUGAUUGGCCUGGGAGUGGGUGCCUGAUUUGGCUCGAUCAAAAUGAGCUGUUUCCUGGGACAUUUGAACUAAAGACCUGCAAGAUCUAGUCUCAGUUCGUCUCAAAGCUGCAUGUUGUCCAGUGUAACCAUAGGAACUGCCGAGAUUGUACGAGAUCAUGGGCUCUGGAAUCAGACAGUGUGAAUUCCAAUCCCUGCUCUAUUACAUAUCCAUUAUGAAACACUGAACAAACCACUUAAUCUCUUACAGGCUCAGCUUUCUCAUCACUGAACUGGAGAUACAGGUAAUAGUAAUAUCUACCCCUGGAGGUAUUUUUAAAUACUUCCACAGUACCUGACACGUGGUAAGUUUUAACAAUGCUGAUGGAGGAAACAUUUGGAUGUUUCCAGCCAAAUUGGAGGAAUCAACGAGUCUUGUCUACUGAUUAGAUAUAGAGGUCGGAAGAUGGAGGAUGGAGGUGAAGCCAAGAUGGCUCUAGGUAUCUGGCCUGAGCAAGAGAACUGACAACAGUUGGUAUUUGGGUUUGACUUGAAGGCAACUGUGGGCCAUCUAGAUGGAGAGAGGUACAGUGGCAUCUUGGAAUUUCUAAAAUAAAAUACAUAUGUAAUAUCUUUUAAAAGUCACCUGCCUGGAAAUGGGGACAAAUCCUUUACUUGGUGAUUUAUGUACAUUUGAUUGUCACAUCCACCUCACAAAGCAGGUAUUAUUAUCAUGCCCAUUUUAUAGAAGAAAAACAGGUUCAGAGAAGGUAAGUAACAUUCCCAAAUGGUAGAGCUUGUGAGUCUCAGAGGCAGGAUUUGAACCCGGGCCUGUCUGACCGGAGACCCAUCCUCUUUAUUAUAGAGUGUUUCUCCUGUGUUGCCUGGAAGUGUGAGUUAAAGCUGAGAGCAUGUGCCACGUGCUCCAGCCCUAACUCUUGUCAUUUAUUAUAUUGGACAAAUUACUUAUUUAUGCCUCAGUUUUGAUGUUAGAAGUGGAGGUAAUAAUAGGACUUUCUUCCUAGGAGUUCAUGAAAAUUUAAUAGUUAAUAUGUCCAGAGUGCAUAGAACAUGGUCUAUCACAUACUAAUGACAUCAUUAAAUGGGACAGGAUGGAGCCUUAUUUAUUUAUUUAUUUAAUUUGUGAGACAAGGUCUCACUCUGUUGCCCACGCUGGAGUACAGUGGCACAGUCUUGGCUCACUGCAGCCUCGACCUUCCCCAGGCUCAAGUGAUCCUCCCACCUCAGCCUCCUGAGUAGCUGGGACUACAGGCAAGCACCACCAUGCCUGGCUAAUUUUUGUACUUUUUGUAAACACAGGGUUUUGCCAUGUUGUCCAGGCUGGUCUCAAGCUCCUGGGCUCAAGCAAUCUGCCCACCUCGGCCUCCCAAAGUGUUGGGAUUACAGGAGUGAGCCACCACAUCUGGCCCAGGGUGGGACUUUAAACAGAAAAAGGACGUGAGCAUGGAGGUCUGGCCUGAGCAGGAGUGAACAAUGCUACAUUGAGGAGAGAACAUUAAAGGAGACCCAGCUCUUGGAGUGAGGCCUUAAGCUUCGGGAGUUGAAACAAUGACCUCCCAUUAAAACCCUUGGAGUCACAGGGAGAAACAGAUUUCUAGAAUUGGACCUAAAUCUGUUCAUUCUUAUUUUUCCUAUUUUUGGCUACCUGAAGAAACCAACAAUAUUUGUUCCCUGGGUAUUUUGAAGUUCACCAUAAAUAAUACCACUCGGUUUAGAAAACUGUGUAUUCAGUUCCUCAGAGAAUGGAUUAUCUAAUUACGUGUCUGUGUUUACAUGGAACAGGUAGUCCAAUCCACGAAAGUGUGAGAACCAUGAGCCUAGUCUCGACCUCAGGAGUUGCCUGAGGAAACUGAUGCUAAAAAUCCAAGUUGCAAAUCAAAAUAUUAGAAAAAUCAAGCCAUGCUCUAGACUUGGAAGCCCGACACUUAGAUCAUCUCUCUCUGAGCAGAGCCAGCUGUUGGCCCCCAUAGGUGAGUGUCAGUGACAUUCUGACACAGGAAAGGUCAACAGGUGCCCCAGGACCACAUCCACCUGGUUAGAAGCUCUGCUGGGUUUGGUCUGGGAGAGACCCGCUGCCUCAAGAGAAUUUGCUACAGGGAAAGCCCCCUGGGUAACCAUGAAGAUGUGAUAUGUUAUGUCAGCAUGAAGAUAGACGAUAUUGUAGAAGACCUUAUGGGGUUUGUAAUGGGGAAAGUGGGCAGGGGAGGUGGGAAUAAAUAUUGCAACAAAGUAUCUUUUCUCUCUUGUGUGUGUGGAAAUGUGCUCUUUGGGGCAUUAAAAUCCUACCAGUGUACCCCCAUGCCCUUCCAAGAUGAGCUCAGGGAGAUGUAUUUUUGUGUUGCAGUCAACAGGCUGAUAAUCAUCAUCAUGGAUCAUGUACUUAAGGCUGAAAAACAGCAGCCUUCUCUAUCCCAUCAUAGAAAGGGCAUUUUGAACCACAAAGGCUAUGUCCCUGGUAAUAAACAUCAGAAAUAACCAUUUGAAUAAAUUACAUGUGUGUAGCAUGUGAUUUUAUAGAAUGCUUCCACAUGUGUUACUAUCUCAUUUAAUUCCAUAUUUGUACAAAUAUGUUAUACACUUGGGUAAUUCUCUGAAUUCUCUGCAUUUCACGCAUUUGGAGUAGUGGCAGGGAUGUAGUGGCACUCAGAUGACAUCAGGGCCUGUUUGCUUUAUGGCAGUAAUGAGCAUUUGUAGGGCAUUUCACAGUUUAUGUAGAGCUUAAAUACAUUUAUUAGACCUCAUUUGAUCCUCACAGUAACUUUAUGAGGUAAGAUGGAUAUUGUUCCUAUCAUAGACUUUAAUGCAUAAUAUUAACUGUCUUUGCUUCUCUGCAUCUAACUCUAGACUGCAAGUUCCACAAGGAUUAUAGCUUUUCGAUAUAUUUUUCACUGUUUCAUCACAGUGCUCAGUAACUCUUUGUUUAAUUGACUUUGAUAGUAUUAUAAUUGCCCCCAUAUUUGUGAUCAAUGAAGAAACUGAGGCUUUCAGAAGGAUUUAUCUUGCCCAAGGUCACACAACUGGGAGUGAAAGCCCUUGAAUUCACAUCUUGUCACUGUCACUGCCUGUCCAAAUGGUCACAAAUUGAGGCUAUCUGGCUGGUAAGAAGUCCCUUUAUCCUGCUAUAAUUUUCUUGGUGGCUCUGUGUCAUUAUGCUGAACUCAGUUUCCCCUCAAGCAGGUGAAACUGCAGAUGGCAUAGGGCACAUAGCUGCAGACCUUGCUCAGACUGGACUCUGAAAGAUUUGGAACCUUAGGCAGAGAGGUGGAAAGGAGUUGGGGAGGCAGUGGCAAUGAUUUGAAAACUAUAACCAAUUUUCUCUCUCCUAGGAGUUGGAGACUUGGAAUCCCCUUUGGUGCAGAAACUAUUCCUUCAUGAGAAGAAGUCCUUAAAUAGGCUCUUUAGACAGGAGGCCACAUGUUGAAGGCAGCAGGGUCACAAGAUGGAAGAACCAGGGUCCCAGUAUCAUCGCUCCCUGCUUCAAGCUGCCAGGGGCAGCCUAACCCACAUGGCAUUAUGACAUAAGAAACAAAGUAACUAUUGUUUUAUUAAAUCAAUGAGAUAUUGGGCUUCUUGUUAUAGCAACUAGUAUAAAUUGCCCUGACUGAUACAUUAUGGAUUUAGAGUGCACUGUACUACAACUGUUUGUUGUAUUUUCAAAAUUGUGGUAUAACUGACUUACAAUAAACUUCAUAUAUUUAAA